AUUGAACGCUGGCGGCAGGCUUAACAUAUGCAAGUCGAGCGGGGUGAUGGUGCUUGCACUAUCACUUAGCGGCGGACGGGUGAGUAAUGCUUAGGAAUCUGCCUAUUAGUGGGGGACAACAUCUCGAAAGGGAUGCUACUACCGCAUACGUCCUACGGGAGAAAGCAGGGGAUCACUUGUGACCUUGCGCUAAUAGAUGAGCCUAAGUCGGAUUAGCUAGUUGGUGGGGUAAAGGCCUACCAAGGCGACGAUCUGUAGCGGGUCUGAGAGGAGGAACCGCCACACUCGGACUGAGACACGGCCCAGACUCCUACGGGAGGCAGCAGUGGGGAAUAUUGGACAAUGGGGGGAAACCUGAUCCAGCCAUGCCGCGUGUGGGAAGAAGGCCUUAUGGUUGUAAAGCACUUUAAGCGAGGAGGAGGCUCUUUUGGUUAAUACCCAAGAUGAGUGGACGUUACUCGCAGAAUAAGCACCGGCUAACUCUGUGCCAGCCGCCGCCGUAA
Molecule: ribosomal RNA, 503 nt
Filed under: uncultured bacterium
Lineage: Bacteria
Description: partial 16S ribosomal RNA
Rfam family: Bacterial small subunit ribosomal RNA
Source: RNAcentral